RNAcentral lists this ribosomal RNA (2904 nucleotides) under Escherichia coli. RNAcentral describes it as "23S ribosomal RNA". It matches the Rfam family "Bacterial large subunit ribosomal RNA". Lineage: Bacteria; Pseudomonadati; Pseudomonadota; Gammaproteobacteria; Enterobacterales; Enterobacteriaceae. The record is from RNAcentral.
GGUUAAGCGACUAAGCGUACACGGUGGAUGCCCUGGCAGUCAGAGGCGAUGAAGGACGUGCUAAUCUGCGAUAAGCGUCGGUGAGGUGAUAUGAACCGUUAUAACCGGCGAUUUCCGAAUGGGGAAACCCAGUGUGUUUCGACACACUAUCAUUAACUGAAUCCAUAGGUUAAUGAGGCGAACCGGGGGAACUGAAACAUCUAAGUACCCCGAGGAAAAGAAAUCAACCGAGAUUCCCCCAGUAGCGGCGAGCGAACGGGGAGGAGCCCAGAGCCUGAAUCAGUGUGUGUGUUAGUGGAAGCGUCUGGAAAGGCGUGCGAUACAGGGUGACAGCCCCGUACACAAAAAUGCACAUAUUGUGAGCUCGAUGAGUAGGGCGGGACACGUGGUAUCCUGUCUGAAUAUGGGGGGACCAUCCUCCAAGGCUAAAUACUCCUGACUGACCGAUAGUGAACCAGUACCGUGAGGGAAAGGCGAAAAGAACCCCGGCGAGGGGAGUGAAAAAGAACCUGAAACCGUGUACGUACAAGCAGUGGGAGCCUCUUAAUGGGGUGACUGCGUACCUUUUGUAUAAUGGGUCAGCGACUUAUAUUCUGUAGCAAGGUUAACCGAAUAGGGGAGCCGAAGGGAAACCGAGUCUUAACUGGGCGUUAAGUUGCAGGGUAUAGACCCGAAACCCGGUGAUCUAGCCAUGGGCAGGUUGAAGGUUGGGUAACACUAACUGGAGGACCGAACCGACUAAUGUUGAAAAAUUAGCGGAUGACUUGUGGCUGGGGGUGAAAGGCCAAUCAAACCGGGAGAUAGCUGGUUCUCCCCGAAAGCUAUUUAGGUAGCGCCUCGUGAAUUCAUCUCCGGGGGGAGAGCACUGUUUCGGCAAGGGGGUCAUCCCGACUUACCAACCCGAUGCAAACUGCGAAUACCGGAGAAUGUUAUCACGGGAGACACACGGCGGGUGCUAACGUCCGUCGUGAAGAGGGAAACAACCCAGACCGCCAGCUAAGGUCCCAAAGUCAUGGUUAAGUGGGAAACGAUGUGGGAAGGCCCAGACAGCCAGGAUGUUGGCUUAGAAGCAGCCAUCAUUUAAAGAAAGCGUAAUAGCUCACUGGUCGAGUCGGCCUGCGCGGAAGAUGUAACGGGGCUAAACCAUGCACCGAAGCUGCGGCAGCGACACUAUGUGUUGUUGGGUAGGGGAGCGUUCUGUAAGCCUGUGAAGGUGGCCUGUGAGGGUUGCUGGAGGUAUCAGAAGUGCGAAUGCUGACAUAAGUAACGAUAAAGCGGGUGAAAAGCCCGCUCGCCGGAAGACCAAGGGUUCCUGUCCAACGUUAAUCGGGGCAGGGUGAGUCGACCCCUAAGGCGAGGCCGAAAGGCGUAGUCGAUGGGAAACAGGUUAAUAUUCCUGUACUUGGUGUUACUGCGAAGGGGGGACGGAGAAGGCUAUGUUGGCCGGGCGACGGUUGUCCCGGUUUAAGCGUGUAGGCUGGUUUUCCAGGCAAAUCCGGAAAACCAAGGCUGAGGCGUGAUGACGAGGCACUACGGUGCUGAAGCGACAAAUGCCCUGCUUCCAGGAAAAGCCUCUAAGCAUCAGGUAACAUCAAAUCGUACCCCAAACCGACACAGGUGGUCAGGUAGAGAAUACCAAGGCGCUUGAGAGAACUCGGGUGAAGGAACUAGGCAAAAUGGUGCCGUAACUUCGGGAGAAGGCACGCUGAUAUGUAGGUGAAGCGACUUGCUCGUGGAGCUGAAAUCAGUCGAAGAUACCAGCUGGCUGCAACUGUUUAUUAAAAACACAGCACUGUGCAAACACGAAAGUGGACGUAUACGGUGUGACGCCUGCCCGGUGCCGGAAGGUUAAUUGAUGGGGUUAGCGGCAACGCGAAGCUCUUGAUCGAAGCCCCGGUAAACGGCGGCCGUAACUAUAACGGUCCUAAGGUAGCGAAAUUCCUUGUCGGGUAAGUUCCGACCUGCACGAAUGGCGUAAUGAUGGCCAGGCUGUCUCCACCCGAGACUCAGUGAAAUUGAACUCGCUGUGAAGAUGCAGUGUACCCGCGGCAAGACGGAAAGACCCCGUGAACCUUUACUAUAGCUUGACACUGAACAUUGAGCCUUGAUGUGUAGGAUAGGUGGGAGGCUUUGAAGUGUGGACGCCAGUCUGCAUGGAGCCGACCUUGAAAUACCACCCUUUAAUGUUUGAUGUUCUAACGUUGGCCCGUAAUCCGGGUUGCGGACAGUGUCUGGUGGGUAGUUUGACUGGGGCGGUCUCCUCCUAAAGAGUAACGGAGGAGCACGAAGGUUGGCUAAUCCUGGUCGGACAUCAGGAGGUUAGUGCAAUGGCAUAAGCCAGCUUGACUGCGAGCGUGACGGCGCGAGCAGGUGCGAAAGCAGGUCAUAGUGAUCCGGUGGUUCUGAAUGGAAGGGCCAUCGCUCAACGGAUAAAAGGUACUCCGGGGAUAACAGGCUGAUACCGCCCAAGAGUUCAUAUCGACGGCGGUGUUUGGCACCUCGAUGUCGGCUCAUCACAUCCUGGGGCUGAAGUAGGUCCCAAGGGUAUGGCUGUUCGCCAUUUAAAGUGGUACGCGAGCUGGGUUUAGAACGUCGUGAGACAGUUCGGUCCCUAUCUGCCGUGGGCGCUGGAGAACUGAGGGGGGCUGCUCCUAGUACGAGAGGACCGGAGUGGACGCAUCACUGGUGUUCGGGUUGUCAUGCCAAUGGCACUGCCCGGUAGCUAAAUGCGGAAGAGAUAAGUGCUGAAAGCAUCUAAGCACGAAACUUGCCCCGAGAUGAGUUCUCCCUGAGACUUAGAGUCUCCUGAAGGAACGUUGAAGACGACGACGUUGAUAGGCCGGGUGUGUAAGCGCAGCGAUGCGUUGAGCUAACCGGUACUAAUGAACCGUGAGGCUUAACCUU